Molecule: ribosomal RNA, 524 nt
Filed under: uncultured bacterium
Lineage: Bacteria
Description: partial 16S ribosomal RNA
Rfam family: Bacterial small subunit ribosomal RNA
Source: RNAcentral
GACGAACGCUGGCGGCGUGCUUAACACAUGCAAGUCGAACGGACAGACAGGGAGCUUGCUCUCUUGAAGUUAGUGGCGAACGGGUGAGUAACGCGUAAUCAACCUGCCCUUCAGAGGGGGAUAACAACGGGAAACCGUUGCUAAUACCGCGUAUGAUUCAUGAACGGCAUCGUUAAUGAAUGAAAGGCGGCCUCUAUGUAUAAGCUAUCGCUGAAGGAGGCAAUUGCGUCGGAUUGGCUAGUUGGAGGGGUAACGGCCCACCAAGGCAAGGAACAGUGCCCGGUCUGUGAGGAUGAACGGCAACAUUGUGACGGAGACACGGCCCGAGCUCCUACGGGAGGCAGCAGUGGGGAAUCUGCCGCAAUGGACGAAAGUCUGACGGAGCAACGCCGCGUGAGUGACGAAGGUCUUCGGAUUGUAAAGCUCUGUUAAUCGGGACGAGAGAGUUCUGCGUGAAUAAUGCAGAAAAGUGACGGUACCGGAAUAGAAAGCCACGGCUAACUACGUGCCAGCAGCCGCCGCGG